Molecule: ribosomal RNA, 229 nt
Filed under: uncultured bacterium
Lineage: Bacteria
Description: partial 16S ribosomal RNA
Rfam family: Bacterial small subunit ribosomal RNA
Source: RNAcentral
CGGGGUGAGUAAUGUCUGGGAAACUGCCUGAUGGAGGGGGAUAACUACUGGAAACGGUAGCUAAUACCGCAUAACGUCGCAAGACCAAAGAGGGGGACCUUCGGGCCUCUUGCCAUCGGAUGUGCCCAGAUGGGAUUAGCUAGUAGGUGGGGUAACGGCUCACCUAGGCGACGAUCACUAGCUGGUCUGAGAGGAUGACCAGCCACACUGGAACUGAGACACGGUCCAG